CGGGAACGAAAGAUGUCUGCUGUGCCACAAGGCGCAGAGGAAAGUCCGGACACCUUGGGCAGGAUACUUCCUAACGGGAAGCUGCAGCAAUGCAGAGCCAGCUCCACAGAAACAAACCGCGUGGUGCCUCGGGCACCCCGCAAGGGUGAAAUGGUGGUGUAAGAGACCACCGGUGCCAGUGGCGACAUUGGCAGCCAGGAAUGCCUUAUCCGGUGCAAUGCCAAAUAGGGAAGCAAUGGUGUGCCCACACCGCUUCCGGGUAGGCAGCUUGAGCCAAAGCGUGAGUUUUGGCCCAGAGGGAUAGACGUCAAUCCCGGCUCGCCGGGAUACAGAAUCCGGCUUAUUGAACUCCCGUGGA
This 358-nucleotide RNase P RNA is filed under the name Candidatus Cloacimonadota bacterium. Its description in RNAcentral is "RNase P RNA component class A". It matches the Rfam family "Bacterial RNase P class A". Rfam says of the family: Ribonuclease P (RNase P) is a ubiquitous endoribonuclease, found in archaea, bacteria and eukarya as well as chloroplasts and mitochondria. The record is from RNAcentral. Lineage: Bacteria; Pseudomonadati; Candidatus Cloacimonadota. RNAcentral also lists the same sequence under 1 other name.